This 500-nucleotide ribosomal RNA is filed under the name uncultured Glomeromycotina. RNAcentral's name for it is "partial small subunit ribosomal RNA". It matches the Rfam family "Eukaryotic small subunit ribosomal RNA", at positions 591 to 1092 of the family's 1831-position model. The record is from RNAcentral. Lineage: Eukaryota; Fungi; Glomeromycota.
CCAAUAGCGUAUAUUAAAGUUGUUGCAGUUAAAAAGCUCGUAGUUGAACUUCGGGAUCAAUAUGUCGGUCGUGCCAUCGGUAUGUACUGGCAUCAUUGGUUUCUACCUUCUGAAGAACCUCGAUGUCAUUAAUUUGGUGUCUUGGGGAAUUAGGACUGUUACUUUGAAAAAAUUAGAGUGUUUAAAGCAGGCUCGCGCUUGAAUACAUUAGCAUGGAAUAAUGAAAUAGGACGUUUGAUUCUAUUUUGUUGGUUUCUAGGAUCGACGUAAUGAUUAAUAGGGAUAGUUGGGGGCAUUAGUAUUCAAUUGUCAGAGGUGAAAUUCUUGGAUUUAUUGAAGACUAACUACUGCGAAAGCAUUUGCCAAGGAUGUUUUCAUUAAUCAAGAACGAAAGUUAGGGGAUCGAAGACGAUCAGAUACCGUCGUAGUCUUAACCAUAAACUAUGCCGACUAGGGAUCGGAUGAUGUUGAUUUUUUAAUGACUCAUUCGGCGCCUUACG